Molecule: unclassified non-coding RNA, 279 nt
Filed under: fungal sp.
Lineage: Eukaryota; Fungi
Description: partial internal transcribed spacer region
Rfam family: Eukaryotic small subunit ribosomal RNA (bases 1-46)
Source: RNAcentral
AAGUCGUAACAAGGUCUCCGUAGGUGAACCUGCGGAAGGAUCAUUAACACGUAUCCAACGUUAAACAACCCUGUGAACUUGUUUUCAACCUUCUCCCUGGAAGUAAUAAAGGCGCUCCGGCGUCAGAAUAAUCCUUCCAGGCUACCCCCGAUUAACAAACACUUAUCACCUACAUUUUUGCUAGUUGACUUUAUCAUGUUAUUAUUCGUAAGGAUCGUAACACGUUUAUUAAUUGAACGUUAAAUUGUACAACUCUUAGCAAUGGAUAUCUUGGUUCUC